This 268-nucleotide unclassified non-coding RNA is filed under the name Athalia rosae (coleseed sawfly). RNAcentral's name for it is "misc RNA ENSAEAG00005006894.1". The record is from RNAcentral. Lineage: Eukaryota; Metazoa; Arthropoda; Insecta; Hymenoptera; Athaliidae.
GCAGCUUCGUUAAACGAUCGAUCAGCCGUUCGUCCUGAUCAAUAACUUUUCCGUUCCUGCGGGAAUUGUUUGAACGAAAAUCAAAAAGGGGUUGUUUCUUCGAACCCCGAGGAUUGCGGAAAAGUUACAUGAUCAAGCAAAAAGUAAGAAGGCUGAACGGAUUCAAUGGCCGAGCAAAAGGAUACGUAUUUUUGAUAUUUUUUCAAUGAAUAGUGUACGCUUCAUUGGAUGGAAAUAAAUACAGCGAAACGUAAAGUUUCGAAGGAAG